RNAcentral lists this long non-coding RNA (519 nucleotides) under Equus caballus (horse). Its description in RNAcentral is "lncRNA (ENSECAG00000050894.1)". The record is from RNAcentral. Lineage: Eukaryota; Metazoa; Chordata; Mammalia; Perissodactyla; Equidae.
ACAGUAUCAAAUUCUACUCAGAGGUCAAGAAAGAGAAGAACUUUGGAAUGUCCAUUGGGUUUGUUGAGAACAGCACUCAGCACAUGCCUGGCACAAAUAUUCGUUAGUGGGACAAAUGAAUGAAUAGGUUGCCUCAAGUUGUGGGAGGCCUCCACCAAUGACUGGACAAUCUCCCUGGAGGCAUCAGGACCAAAGGAAGCUCGGUGACCAAAGACUGAUGACUGCCAUGUUGUGAGCUGCCCUGUGGAGAGGCUCAUGUGACAAAGGACUGAGGGUGGCCUCCUGCCCACUGGUGUGGAACUGGGGCCCUCAGUGCAACAGCCCAUGAGAAACCGAAUCUCCCAACAAUCAUGUGAGUGAGCUUGAAAGCAGAUUCUUCCCCAGUGGAGCCUCGACAUGACUGUGGUUCCAGCUGAUACCUUGCUAGCAGCCUUGGGAGAGACCCUAAGCCAGAGGAUGCCAUUAAGCCAUGUGGGGAUUCCUGACUUGUAGAAACUAUGAGAUAAUAAAUGUUGUUUU